Homo sapiens (human) is the source of this 111-nucleotide non-coding RNA. Lineage: Eukaryota; Metazoa; Chordata; Mammalia; Primates; Hominidae. The record is from Rfam.
AUCUAGGGCCAUACCACCCUGAAAGCACGCGAUCUCAUCUGAUGUGGAAAGUUAAGUGGGGUCAGGCCUGGUUAGUACUUGGAUGGGAGAAAUUAUGUCUAACUCCAUCUA